CUGGCCUGCUCACAGAGCACAAUGAGUGAGAUUUUUUGGUCCUUCGAUGUUGUCUCUUCCUAUCACUGUGAACCAGAAUUCACCAAGUGUUGGAUUGUUCACCCACUAACAGGGAAUGUGAUCUGGGCUUAGACCGUUGUGAAACAAGCU
This 150-nucleotide non-coding RNA is filed under the name Apaloderma vittatum (bar-tailed trogon). RNAcentral's name for it is "Eukaryotic large subunit ribosomal RNA". It matches the Rfam family "Eukaryotic large subunit ribosomal RNA", at positions 2830 to 2984 of the family's 3401-position model. The record is from Rfam by way of RNAcentral. Lineage: Eukaryota; Metazoa; Chordata; Aves; Trogoniformes; Trogonidae.